This 388-nucleotide ribosomal RNA is filed under the name uncultured bacterium. RNAcentral's name for it is "partial 16S ribosomal RNA". It matches the Rfam family "Bacterial small subunit ribosomal RNA", at positions 356 to 736 of the family's 1533-position model. The record is from RNAcentral.
UGGGGAAUUUGGACAAUGGGCGAAGCCUGAUCCAGCAAUGCCGCGUGUGUGAAGAAGGCCUUCGGGUUGUAAAGCACUUUUGUCCGGAAAGAAAUCCUUGGCUCUAAUACAGUCGGGGGAUGACGGUACCGGAAGAAUAAGCACCGGCUAACUACGUGCCAGCAGCCGCGGUAAUACGUAGGGUGCAAGCGUUAAUCGGAAUUACUGGGCGUAAAGCGUGCGCAGGCGGUUUGCUAAGACCGAUGUGAAAUCCCCGGGCGUCAACCUGGGAACUGCAUUGGUGACUGGGCAGGCUAGAGUAUGGCAGAGGGGGGUAGAAUUCCACGUGUAGCAGUGAAAAUGCGUAGAGAUGUGGAGGAAUACCGAUGGCGAAGGCAGCCCCUGGCAA